CCUACGGGGGACAGCAGUGAGGAAUAUUGGUCAAUGGACGAGAGUCUGAACCAGCCAAGUAGCGUGAAGGAUGACUGCCCUAUGGGUUGUAAACUUCUUUUAUAUGGGAAUAAAACGUUCCACGUGUGGGAUUUUGUAUGUACCAUAUGAAUAAGGAUCGGCUAACUCCGUGCCAGCAGCCGCGGUAAUACGGAGGAUCCGAGCGUUAUCCGGAUUUAUUGGGUGUAAAGGGAGCGUAGGUGGAUUGUUAAGUCAGUUGUGAAAGUUUGCGGCUCAACCGUAAAAUGGCAGUUGAAACUGGCAGUCUUGAGUACAGUAGAGGUGGGCGGAAUUCGUGGUGUAGCGGUGAAAUGCUUAGAUAUCACGAAGAACUCCGAUUGCGAAGGCAGUUCACUGGACUGCAACUGACACUGAGGCUCGAAAGUGUGGGUAUCAAACAGGAUUAGAUACCCCAGUAGUC
This 460-nucleotide ribosomal RNA is filed under the name uncultured bacterium. RNAcentral describes it as "partial 16S ribosomal RNA". It matches the Rfam family "Bacterial small subunit ribosomal RNA", at positions 338 to 795 of the family's 1533-position model. The record is from RNAcentral.